This 269-nucleotide unclassified non-coding RNA is filed under the name fungal sp. RNAcentral describes it as "partial internal transcribed spacer region". The stretch from base 1 to 46 matches the Rfam family "Eukaryotic small subunit ribosomal RNA", at positions 1786 to 1831 of the family's 1831-position model. The record is from RNAcentral. Lineage: Eukaryota; Fungi.
AAGUCGUAACAAGGUUUCCGUAGGUGAACCUGCGGAAGGAUCAUUAACAAAUCAACAAACACCUUGGCAGAGGGACUAGGCGAGGGAUUGCCGCCGAGGGCUUGACUGUGGGACCAGAACGUGGGACGUUGGACGUGGCAUGUGGGAUCGUUGUCUGUGGGUGGGCGAGGGAUUAUCUGGGACGAGGGAUGAUCAAAGUUAAAUUUGGUCAAACACAAUACGAAUGCAUUAAGCAUAUACAACUAUUAACAAUGGAUCUCUAGGCUCUU